This 280-nucleotide long non-coding RNA is filed under the name Homo sapiens (human). RNAcentral describes it as "non-protein coding lnc-SCG2-1:1". The record is from RNAcentral. Lineage: Eukaryota; Metazoa; Chordata; Mammalia; Primates; Hominidae.
CUAUGUCAACAGACACAGAUGUUUUCCUUUCAUCAUAUGCUGAAGAUCACAGAUCCAAACUUAUUCAAAAAGCUACAGACGCAUUAUUCUUCUCCCAUUGGACUGGCAGGUUUUAUAGAAAUUGUUGCAUGUGGAUUCGACAAAUCGAAGAGCAGGAGAAAUUCUAAAAUGUCCCUUCACCUGAUCCACAUGUGCAGGGCAGUCAGAGGCUUUGUUGCAGGAGCAAUGACUGUUGGUAUGGGCUACUCCAUGUAUUGGAACUUCUAGGCAAAACCUAAGC